AAUCUUCUGGGGUGUUUGUCAGUUAACUACGUCCCUGGCCGAUAAGUUUUAUUUUAGGAAGUUCAUCCUUUGCUAUUGCGUAAGCCCGACUUGUAUCGGGAAACCUACGGUGAAUGAGCAACUUCCGCCUUGAGCACACGUGUUCAAGGGCUUAUGUUGACUACGGCACCUUGGAAGUUUC
Molecule: non-coding RNA, 181 nt
Filed under: Alteromonadaceae bacterium
Lineage: Bacteria; Pseudomonadati; Pseudomonadota; Gammaproteobacteria; Alteromonadales; Alteromonadaceae
Description: 6S RNA
Rfam family: 6S / SsrS RNA
About the family: E. coli 6S RNA was the first non coding RNA to be sequenced, but its function was unknown until recently. It consists of 184 nucleotides that fold into an extended hairpin structure with a large single-stranded internal bulge. The 6S RNA specifically associates with RNA polymerase holoenzyme containing the sigma70 specificity factor.
Source: RNAcentral